This 77-nucleotide transfer RNA is filed under the name Rhodanobacteraceae bacterium. RNAcentral describes it as "tRNA-Met". It matches the Rfam family "tRNA". Rfam says of the family: Transfer RNA (tRNA) molecules are approximately 80 nucleotides in length. Their secondary structure includes four short double-helical elements and three loops (D, anti-codon, and T loops). Further hydrogen bonds mediate the characteristic L-shaped molecular structure. tRNAs have two regions of fundamental functional importance: the anti-codon, which is responsible for specific mRNA codon recognition, and the 3' end, to which the tRNAs corresponding amino acid is attached (by aminoacyl-tRNA synthetases). tRNAs cope with the degeneracy of the genetic code in two manners: having more than one tRNA (with a specific anti-codon) for a particular amino acid; and 'wobble' base-pairing, i.e. permitting non-standard base-pairing at the 3rd anti-codon position. Lineage: Bacteria; Pseudomonadati; Pseudomonadota; Gammaproteobacteria; Lysobacterales; Rhodanobacteraceae. The record is from RNAcentral.
GGGCCUAUAGCUCAAUCGGUUAGAGCAGGGGACUCAUAAUCCCUUGGUUCCAGGUUCGAGUCCUGGUGGGCCCAUCA